GGGCCCGCACAAGCGGCGGAGCAUGCGGAUUAAUUCGAUGCAACGCGAAGAACCUUACCAAGGCUUGACAUACACCGGAAAAGUGCAGAGAUGUGCUCCCCGCAAGGUCGGUGUACAGGUGGUGCAUGGUUGUCGUCAGCUCGUGUCGUGAGAUGUUGGGUUAAGUCCCGCAACGAGCGCAACCCUCGUCCCAUGUUGCCAGCGGGUGAUGCCGGGGACUCAUGGGAGACUGCCGGGGUCAACUCGGAGGAAGGUGGGGAUGACGUCAAAUCAUCAUGCCCCUUAUGUCUUGGGCUUCACGCAUGCUACAAUGGCCGGUACAAAGGGCUGCGAUACCGCGAGGUGGAGCGAAUCCCAAAAAGCCGGUCUCAGUUCGGAUUGGGGUCUGCAACUCGACCCCAUGAAGUCGGAGUCGCUAGUAAUCGCAGA
This 429-nucleotide ribosomal RNA is filed under the name uncultured Actinomycetes bacterium. Its description in RNAcentral is "bacterial SSU rRNA". It matches the Rfam family "Bacterial small subunit ribosomal RNA", at positions 917 to 1348 of the family's 1533-position model. The record is from RNAcentral. Lineage: Bacteria; Bacillati; Actinomycetota; Actinomycetes.